GUGAGGAAUCUUGCGCAAUGGGCGAAAGCCUGACGCAGCGACGCCGCGUGGAGGAUGAAGGUCUUCGGAUUGUAAACUCCUGUCGAGUGGGACGAAUGCCAUGAGGGUGAACAGCCCUCGUGGUUGACGGUACCGCUGGAGGAAGCCCCGGCUAACUCCGUGCCAGCAGCCGCGGUAAUACGGAGGGGGCCAGCGUUGUUCGGAAUCAUUGGGCGUAAAGGGCGCGUAGGCGGCCGAUCAAGUCGGAGGUGAAAUCCCUCGGCUCAACUGAGGAAAUGCCUCCGAUACUGUUCGGCUUGAGUCCUGGAGAGGGUAGUGGAAUUCCCAGUGUAGCGGUGAAAUGCGUAGAGACUGGGAAGAACACCAGUGGCGAAGGCGGCUACCUGGACAGGUACUGACGCUGAAGCGCGAAAGCUAGGGGAGCAAACAGGAUUAGAUACCCGAGUAGUCC
RNAcentral lists this ribosomal RNA (451 nucleotides) under uncultured bacterium. Its description in RNAcentral is "bacterial SSU rRNA". It matches the Rfam family "Bacterial small subunit ribosomal RNA", at positions 354 to 796 of the family's 1533-position model. The record is from RNAcentral.